RNAcentral lists this ribosomal RNA (715 nucleotides) under Micrococcus luteus. Its description in RNAcentral is "bacterial SSU rRNA". It matches the Rfam family "Bacterial small subunit ribosomal RNA", at positions 336 to 1061 of the family's 1533-position model. Lineage: Bacteria; Bacillati; Actinomycetota; Actinomycetes; Micrococcales; Micrococcaceae. The record is from RNAcentral.
UUCCUACGGGAGGCAGCAGUGGGGAAUAUUGCACAAUGGGCGCAAGCCUGAUGCAGCGACGCCGCGUGAGGGAUGACGGCCUUCGGGUUGUAAACCUCUUUCAGUAGGGAAGAAGCGAAAGUGACGGUACCUGCAGAAGAAGCACCGGCUAACUACGUGCCAGCAGCCGCGGUAAUACGUAGGGUGCGAGCGUUAUCCGGAAUUAUUGGGCGUAAAGAGCUCGUAGGCGGUUUGUCGCGUCUGUCGUGAAAGUCCGGGGCUUAACCCCGGAUCUGCGGUGGGUACGGGCAGACUAGAGUGCAGUAGGGGAGACUGGAAUUCCUGGUGUAGCGGUGGAAUGCGCAGAUAUCAGGAGGAAUACCGAUGGCGAAGGCAGGUCUCUGGGCUGUAACUGACGCUGAGGAGCGAAAGCAUGGGGAGCGAACAGGAUUAGAUACCCUGGUAGUCCAUGCCGUAAACGUUGGGCACUAGGUGUGGGGACCAUUCCACGGUUUCCGCGCCGCAGCUAACGCAUUAAGUGCCCCGCCUGGGGAGUACGGCCGCAAGGCUAAAACUCAAAGGAAUUGACGGGGGCCCGCACAAGCGGCGGAGCAUGCGGAUUAAUUCGAUGCAACGCGAAGAACCUUACCAAGGCUUGACAUGUUCUCGAUCGCCGUAGAGAUACGGUUUCCCCUUUGGGGCGGGUUCACAGGUGGUGCAUGGUUGUCGUCAGCUC